AACGAACGCUGGCGGCAGGCCUAACACAUGCAAGUCGAGCGGACCUUUCGGGGUCAGCGGCGGACGGGUGAGUAACGCGUGGGAAUAUGCCCUUCUCUACGGAAUAGUCCUGGGAAACUGGGGGUAAUACCGUAUACGCCCUUUGGGGGAAAGAUUUAUCGGGGAAGGAUUAGCCCGCGUUGGAUUAGGUAGUUGGUGGGGUAAUGGCUUACCAAGCCGACGAUCCAUAGCUGGUUUGAGAGGAUGAUCAGCCACACUGGGACUGAGACACGGCCCAGACUCCUACGGGAGGCAGCAGUGGGGAAUCUUAGACAAUGGGGGCAACCCUGAUCUAGCCAUGCCGCGUGAGUGAUGAAGGCCUUAGGGUUGUAAAGCUCUUUCAGCUGGGAAGAUAAUGACGGUACCAGCAGAAGAAGCCCCGGCUAACUCCGUG
Molecule: ribosomal RNA, 433 nt
Filed under: uncultured bacterium
Lineage: Bacteria
Description: partial 16S ribosomal RNA
Rfam family: Bacterial small subunit ribosomal RNA
Source: RNAcentral